GACGUAGGGCGCGAGCGUUGUCCGGAUUUAUUGGGCGUAAAGAGCUCGUAGGCGGUUUGUCGCGUCUGCCGUGAAAGUCCGGGGGCCCAACUCCGGAUCUGCGGUGGGUACGGGCAGACUAGAGUGAUGUAGGGGAGACUGGAAUUCCUGGUGUAGCGGUGAAAUGCGCAGAUAUCAGGAGGAACACCGAUGGCGAAGGCAGGUCUCUGGGCCGCAACUGACGCUGAGGAGCGAAAGCAUGGGGAGCGAACAGG
Molecule: ribosomal RNA, 254 nt
Filed under: uncultured bacterium
Lineage: Bacteria
Description: partial 16S ribosomal RNA
Rfam family: Bacterial small subunit ribosomal RNA
Source: RNAcentral